CUCGAUUUGGCAUCCCCUAAAAUUCGCAGGGUAUAAAUACCUCACGAAUCCCAACCAUCGACUCAGUCCGGGAUCAGCAGCUGAAUCAAGAUGAAGCUUCACUUUCUUUUCGGUAUUCUAUUGUCGACGGUAAUCAUGUUGGCGGAAGCGAAUAAUGGGCUGAGCAGUCGGACAGGCAGUAUCCCAUGCGCGUGCUUCAAAGAACCCUGUCCUUGCCCGUUAUAGUAAACACCUAUGAUAAGAACACCUGGACGUGUAAACCAGUCUCCUGGAAAUACUUCUUUUCCAAGGAGU
Penaeus monodon (black tiger shrimp) is the source of this 294-nucleotide long non-coding RNA. RefSeq lists it as uncharacterized. The transcript is spliced from 3 exons. The record is from RefSeq and is a predicted model, not a curated record. Lineage: Eukaryota; Metazoa; Arthropoda; Malacostraca; Decapoda; Penaeidae.